CAGUCGCCGCGGUAAUACGUAGGGUGCGAGCGUUAAUCGGAAUUACUGGGCGUAAAGCGUGCGCAGGCGGUUAUAUAAGACAGAUGUGAAAUCCCCGGGCUCAACCUGGGACCUGCAUUUGUGACUGUAUAGCUAGAAUACGGUAGAGGGGGAUGGAAUUCCGCGUGUAGCAGUGAAAUGCGUAGAUAUGCGGAGGAACACCGAUGGCGAAGGCAAUCCCCUGGACCUGUACUGACGCUCAUGCACGAAAGCGUGGGGAGCAAACAGGAUUAGAUACCCGCGUAGUCCCUGUCUCUUAUAC
RNAcentral lists this ribosomal RNA (301 nucleotides) under uncultured bacterium. RNAcentral's name for it is "partial 16S ribosomal RNA". It matches the Rfam family "Bacterial small subunit ribosomal RNA", at positions 509 to 807 of the family's 1533-position model. The record is from RNAcentral.